This 76-nucleotide ribosomal RNA is filed under the name Scophthalmus maximus (turbot). Lineage: Eukaryota; Metazoa; Chordata; Actinopteri; Pleuronectiformes; Scophthalmidae. The record is from RNAcentral.
UCGGAAGCUAAGGUAGGUUGGGCCUGGUUAGUACUUGGAUGGGAGACCGCCUGGGAAUACCAGGUGCUGUAAGCUU